Molecule: transfer RNA, 77 nt
Filed under: Vreelandella subglaciescola
Lineage: Bacteria; Pseudomonadati; Pseudomonadota; Gammaproteobacteria; Oceanospirillales; Halomonadaceae
Also listed under: 17 other names
Description: tRNA-Arg
Rfam family: tRNA
About the family: Transfer RNA (tRNA) molecules are approximately 80 nucleotides in length.
Source: RNAcentral
GCGCCCGUAGCUCAGCUGGAUAGAGUACCUGACUACGAAUCAGGUGGUCGGAGGUUCGAAUCCUCCCGGGCGCACCA